RNAcentral lists this ribosomal RNA (713 nucleotides) under Clostridioides difficile. RNAcentral describes it as "partial 23S ribosomal RNA". It matches the Rfam family "Bacterial large subunit ribosomal RNA", at positions 683 to 1404 of the family's 2925-position model. The record is from RNAcentral. Lineage: Bacteria; Bacillati; Bacillota; Clostridia; Peptostreptococcales; Peptostreptococcaceae.
UUUAACUGAGCGUUCAGUUACUUGACGUAGACCCGAAACCGGGCGACCUACCCAUGAGCAGGAUGAAGCGAAAGUAAAAUUUCGUGGAGGUCCGAACCCACGAGCGUUGAAAAGCUCGGGGAUGACUUGUGGGUAGCGGUGAAAUUCCAAUCGAGCCCGGAGAUAGCUGGUUCUCCCCGAAAUAGCUUUAGGGCUAGCCUCAAGGUGAGAGAUACGGAGGUAGAGCACUGAAUGUCCUAGGGGGUAUUGCACCUACCGAAGACUAUCAAACUCCGAAUGCCGUCAUCUUAUACUUGGGAGUCAGACUGUGGGUGAUAAGAUUCAUAGUCGAAAGGGCAACAGCCCAGAUCGUCAGCUAAGGUCCCUAAAUGUAAGUUAAGUGGUAAAGGAUGUGGGAUUGCACAGACAACCAGGAUGUUGGCUUAGAAGCAGCCACUCAUUCAAAGAGUGCGUAAUAGCUCACUGGUCGAGUGAUCCUGCGCCGAAGAUUUCCGGGGCUAAAACUUACUACCGAAGCUACGGCAUCAGUAAUGAUGGGUAGGGGAGCUUCCCAUACGGGUUGAAGCAUGACCGUAAGGACAUGUGGACAGUAUGGGAGUGAGAAUGUUGGCAUGAGUAGCGAGAUGUGGGUGAGAAUCCCACAGGCCGUAAACCCAAGGUUUCCAGGGGAAGGUUCGUCCGCCCUGGGUUAGUCGGGACCUAAGCUGAGGCCG